GCAUUCUGCACAAGUUUGCAUUCCUUGUCAAUAUUUUGUGAUCUACAAAGUGCAACAAACAAUUUUAAUUCCAAGAAUAUAUUAAGUAAAGGAGGUUUUGGCAUUGUGUAUAAAGGUUGUUUGAGAAAUGGCUUGUGUUUCAUAUCCUUGAUAUUAUGAAUUUACAUAAUACAAUCUAAUCUGAAAGAUAGUUUUUUCAGGCUCAAGCGAUAGCGUGCGUGCAUGAGACUUAGAUGGCGGCUUCGGAGGCGGCAACGACAAUGUUAAAAAUAGUUUUUCUCACAAAAUUAAAAUAACUAUCUUGCUUUUCAGGCAUUGCCAGAAAUAGCUCAAAAGAUUACACGGUUGGAGAAUGAGAUACCUUGCUUGAUUCUUCUGGCGAGAAAAUCAUUUAUGAGAUGAUGAGACCAGAGAGGACUUUGUUGUAUUUGGUUCCUGGAAGGCUGGUUAGGGUGAGGGAUGGUUCAACAGACUGGGGAUGGGGUGUGGUGUGGUUGUAAAUCUAUACUACUCCUUAACAAGCUAAGGAGGGCGUCCACAACUCCGUGCCCCCGCCCCCGUCUCUCGCUCGCGACCUCCCGCACGACGCGCCAGGGCAAUCUGGACUUUGCUACAUACUGGUUUUUACAUGCACAAUAAAGCUAGCUGGUAUCACAUUUACUGGUGAUCCUGCUAAGAAUAAGAAAGAUCUAUUUGGUGCUAUUGCAAUGGUAUUGAGAGUUGUAGGAGGCAAGAAUUCACAAUUAUCUUUGCCUACACGCUAUUCUCUGAACACAAUAUUUACGAGCUUGAUAGGUCUAUUUUGGAAUACGAAUUAUGAGUUUGGUAGGUAAAUAAUUUAUACAAUGAUUCUUGGACCUUUGACCCUUUCUGCUUCAAGGAUUAAUGUGUGACUGUGUUUAGCCUUCAAUCCAAGCGACAUGCCACUAAUCUCAAAAAUGCUUCUAUGCAAUAUUUACUUGACAAUUUAUAUCUCUGCUGUUCCUUAGAGAUAUUUUCAUGUAAUAUGUUACAAGGUUGUUCAUGUGAGAUUUUUGGUCAUAAAUUAUAUUAUAUAUGAAGAUAAUGGGAGUCAGCCCUAAAUUCAUAUUAUCUGCAAUCUGCAGUUUCUUGAAAAAAAUGUUUGAUCUACAUCAGAAUUUUCCCAAAAUAUCUAACAGACUUGUUUUCUUCAGGCCAGGAACCCAGGGUCUACACAUCUUAUAACUGAAAAACACAUAAGCAGUAUGCGGUUCACACUUUUUUCUUGUUUGCAUUUUAUAAACCAUUAGACCCU
RNAcentral lists this long non-coding RNA (1276 nucleotides) under Zea mays. RNAcentral describes it as "drought responsive lncRNA". Lineage: Eukaryota; Viridiplantae; Streptophyta; Magnoliopsida; Poales; Poaceae. The record is from RNAcentral.